CUAUAAACCCAGACAGGAGCUUGGGAAGGAUGAGACGCAUCCAUAUGGCAUGAGACAGGGAUGCUGCUGCCCUGCUGCAGCGAGCAGGGCUCCUCUGCAUCCUCCCACCUCUGUUAUUUCCACGCGCCUCCCGGAUUGAAGCCAACCUCCAGUACAUCCCAUUGCAGCAUCCCGCUGCUCGCAGCUCUGGGGCACAGCAGCCGGCUCGUGUUAAUGGCUGAAAGUUGCUUUCUGAAGGCCGCCCUCCUCUCACAGCAUCUCACAUCCCAUCCUGCUAAGGAAGGCGCGUUCCCUCUGCGAUACCCUGCGUGCAGGAGAUCCGUGGGGAUGCUGGAGCGCAGCGGUGGGUUGGCACUGGUGGCCCCAUGGAGGAUGAGCUGUGCACAGUGGGCUUCUUCCCCCCGAGGAGACAUCUCAGCCAUCAACAUCACAGCGCUGAGCCAAAGCGUCCCGGUGGUGUGCAAUGAGCAGCAGGAAACUGGUGGUUAAAGGCAGCCUCCCAAGAGCCUGGUGGGAUUGAUGAGAGCGGAGGCAUCCAAGAAGACAAGGAGGGCGGCUGUUUCUGUUGCACUAAGGGGAAAGCCACAGUUGGACAAAGUGCACUCCGAACAAACUUGAGGACCUUUUAAUCCCCACAUCAGGGUUGGAAGGCUCAGCUCUUCAAUAUUAUAUUCCAGCACUUCGGCAGAAAAUAAACCAGGCUCAAGAAAAUGGCACCAACUUAUAAAAGGAGAAAAAAAGAGCUAAUAUAUCAGUUAUCAGUGCUGAAUACACAGCACCGAGCCCUUCAGUCUCCAUUUUAAGUUCCUGAGCACAUGAUAAAACCACGGUACAAGCCACCAAAUAUUGGAGGGGAAAUGAGCAACCCCCGGUGCAGCACCUGUGCCCCGUCCUGCCAAGGAAAGCUCAGAUUUGAGCAAGAAACACAGCCUAAAAAUUAAACAAUAAUAAAGAUAGAAAACAACAAAAGAAAACACUACACACACACACAGCCCUGCAAAAAAACACCACGCCAAACAAAACAGAGCAGUUCACAAACUUGGCACCCAAGCUCAAAAGGACUCACGAGGGAAUACAAAUAGCUUCCAAUCUCUAAAUAUUCAAAGGAUUAGUAGGGCAGUAAAAAAAAAAAAGG
Molecule: long non-coding RNA, 1135 nt
Organism: Coturnix japonica (Japanese quail)
Lineage: Eukaryota; Metazoa; Chordata; Aves; Galliformes; Phasianidae
Source: RefSeq, a predicted model, not a curated record